This 87-nucleotide transfer RNA is filed under the name methanogenic archaeon ISO4-H5. RNAcentral's name for it is "tRNA-Leu". It matches the Rfam family "tRNA". Rfam says of the family: Transfer RNA (tRNA) molecules are approximately 80 nucleotides in length. RNAcentral also lists the same sequence under 3 other names. Lineage: Archaea; Methanobacteriati; Thermoplasmatota; Thermoplasmata. The record is from RNAcentral.
GCAAGGGUAGUCAAGCCUGGCCAACGACGUUAGAUUCAGGGUCUAAUCCAUAGCGGUCCGCGAGUUCGAAUCUCGUCCCUUGCACCA